GACGAACGCUGGCGGCGUGCUUAACACAUGCAAGUCGAACGGAAAGGCCCUGCUUUUGUGGGGUGCUCGAGUGGCGAACGGGUGAGUAACACGUGAGUAACCUGCCCUUGACUUUGGGAUAACUUCAGGAAACUGGGGCUAAUACCGGAUAGGAGCUCCUGCUGCAUGGUGGGGGUUGGAAAGUUUCGGCGGUUGGGGAUGGACUCGCGGCUUAUCAGCUUGUUGGUGGGGUAGUGGCUUACCAAGGCUUUGACGGGUAGCCGGCCUGAGAGGGUGACCGGCCACAUUGGGACUGAGAUACGGCCCAGACUCCUACGGGAGGCAGCAGUGGGGAAUAUUGCACAAUGGGCGGAAGCCUGAUGCAGCAACGCCGCGUGCGGGAUGACGGCCUUCGGGUUGUAAACCGCUUUCGCCUGUGACGAAGCGUGAGUGACGGUAAUGGGUAAAGAAGCACCGGCUAACUACGUGCCAGCAGCCGCGGUGAUACGUAGGGUGCGAGCGUUGUCCGGAUUUAUUGGGCGUAAAGGGCUCGUAGGUGGUUGAUCGCGUCGGAAGUGUAAUCUUGGGGCUUAACCCUGAGCGUGCUUUCGAUACGGGUUGACUUGAGGAAGGUAGGGGAGAAUGGAAUUCCUGGUGGAGCGGUGGAAUGCGCAGAUAUCAGGAGGAACACCAGUGGCGAAGGCGGUUCUCUGGGCCUUUCCUGACGCUGAGGAGCGAAAGCGUGGGGAGCGAACAGGCUUAGAUACCCUGGUAGUCCACGCUGUAAACGGUGGGUACUAGGUGUGGGGUCCAUUCCACGGGCUCCGUGCCGUAGCUAACGCUUUAAGUACCCCGCCUGGGGAGUACGGCCGCAAGGCUAAAACUCAAAGGAAUUGACGGGGCCCCGCACAAGCGGCGGAGCAUGCGGAUUAAUUCGAUGCAACGCGUAGAACCUUACCCGGGUUUGACAUGGAUCGGGAGCGCUCAGAGAUGGGUGUGCCUCUUUCGGGGUCGGUUCACAGGUGGUGCAUGGCUGUCGUCAGCUCGUGUCGUGAGAUGUUGGGUUAAGUCCCGCAACGAGCGCAACCCUUGUUCACUGUUGCCAGCACGUUAUGGUGGGGACUCAGUGGAGACCGCCGGGGUCAACUCGGAGGAAGGUGGGGAUGACGUCAAGUCAUCAUGCCCCUUAUGUCCAGGGCUUCACGCAUGCUACAAUGGCUGGUACAGAGAGUGGCGAGCCUGUGAGGGUGAGCGAAUCUCGGAAAGCCGGUCUCAGUUCGGAUUGGGGUCUGCAACUCGACCUCAUGAAGUCGGAGUCGCUAGUAAUCGCAGAUCAGCAACGCUGCGGUGAAUACGUCCCCGGG
RNAcentral lists this ribosomal RNA (1343 nucleotides) under uncultured bacterium. Its description in RNAcentral is "16S ribosomal RNA". It matches the Rfam family "Bacterial small subunit ribosomal RNA", at positions 28 to 1378 of the family's 1533-position model. The record is from RNAcentral.